UGUUUCUACUGAUACCGAUCGGAG
Molecule: non-coding RNA, 24 nt
Filed under: Arabidopsis thaliana (thale cress)
Lineage: Eukaryota; Viridiplantae; Streptophyta; Magnoliopsida; Brassicales; Brassicaceae
Source: RNAcentral